RNAcentral lists this ribosomal RNA (500 nucleotides) under uncultured bacterium. RNAcentral describes it as "partial 16S ribosomal RNA". It matches the Rfam family "Bacterial small subunit ribosomal RNA", at positions 30 to 523 of the family's 1533-position model. The record is from RNAcentral.
AUUGAACGCUGGCGGAAUGCUUUACACAUGCAAGUCGAACGGCAGCACGGACUUCGGUCUGGUGGCGAGUGGCGAACGGGUGAGUAAUGUAUCGGAACGUGCCCAGUCGUGGGGGAUAACGUAGUGAAAAUUACGCUAAUACCGCAUACGAUCUAUGGAUGAAAGCGGGGGAUCGCAAGACCUAGCGCGAUUGGAGCGGCCGAUAUCAGAUUAGGUAGUUGGUGGGGUAAAGGCCCACCAAGCCAACGAUCUGUAGCUGGUCUGAGAGGACGACCAGCCAUACUGGAACUGAGACACGGCCCAGACUCCUACGAGAGGCAGCAGGCGAGAAUUUUGGACAAUGGGCGAAAGCGUGAUCCAGCCAUUCCGCGUGCAGGAUGAGGGCCCUCGGGUUGUAAACUGCUUUUGUACAGAACGAAAAGGUUUCUACUAAUACUAGGAGCUCAUGACGGUACUGUAAGAAUAAGCACCGGCUAACUACGUGCCAGCCGCCGCCGUAA